CCGUGGUUUACUUGGUGAGCAGCCCUCUCAUCGGCGUGAGCUUCAGGAUGGUUCCGUGGCAAGUUUCGAGGAUGUAAAGGCCAAGACAAAGUGGAAGUCCUCAAGAUCGGAGCUUAAGCCUGGGUCUCUUGUCCUCAUAAAAGAAAAAGCUCUUCCGCCUCUUCUUUGGUGUUUGGGAAGGGUAAUCAAGACAUAUCCGGGCAGCGAUGGGAUUUCUAGAGUGGCCGAAAUCCGGACCAAGGGUGGCACCAUUAGAAG
Molecule: unclassified non-coding RNA, 258 nt
Filed under: Melitaea cinxia (Glanville fritillary)
Lineage: Eukaryota; Metazoa; Arthropoda; Insecta; Lepidoptera; Nymphalidae
Description: misc RNA ENSMCXG00005021262.1
Source: RNAcentral